RNAcentral lists this unclassified non-coding RNA (150 nucleotides) under fungal sp. RNAcentral's name for it is "partial internal transcribed spacer region". The stretch from base 1 to 46 matches the Rfam family "Eukaryotic small subunit ribosomal RNA", at positions 1786 to 1831 of the family's 1831-position model. The record is from RNAcentral. Lineage: Eukaryota; Fungi.
AAGUCGUAACAAGGUUUCCGUAGGCGAACCUGCGGAAGGAUCAUUAAAGAUUAUUAAAUCAAACACUGUGCACAACAAUAUAACAACAAUAAUUAAAUAGUUUAAUAAUAUUAAUUAUGACAACUUUUAGCAACGGAUCUCUAGGUUCUC